RNAcentral lists this ribosomal RNA (620 nucleotides) under Bacillus sp. 9_Lm5_B_BM3. RNAcentral describes it as "partial 16S ribosomal RNA". It matches the Rfam family "Bacterial small subunit ribosomal RNA", at positions 49 to 649 of the family's 1533-position model. The record is from RNAcentral. Lineage: Bacteria; Bacillati; Bacillota; Bacilli; Caryophanales; Bacillaceae.
GGCUAACUGCAGUCGAGCGACUGAUUAGAAGCUUGCUUCUAUGACGUUAGCGGCGGACGGGUGAGUAACACGUGGGCAACCUGCCUGUAAGACUGGGAUAACUUCGGGAAACCGAAGCUAAUACCGGAUAGGAUCUUCUCCUUCAUGGGAGAUGAUUGAAAGAUGGUUUCGGCUAUCACUUACAGAUGGGCCCGCGGUGCAUUAGCUAGUUGGUGAGGUAACGGCUCACCAAGGCCACGAUGCAUAGCCGACCUGAGAGGGUGAUCGGCCACACUGGGACUGAGACACGGCCCAGACUCCUACGGGAGGCAGCAGUAGGGAAUCUUCCGCAAUGGACGAAAGUCUGACGGAGCAACGCCGCGUGAGUGAUGAAGGCUUUCGGGUCGUAAAACUCUGUUGUUAGGGAAGAACAAGUACNAGAGUAACUGCUUGUACCUUGACGGUACCUAACCAGAAAGCCACGGCUAACUACNUGCCANCAGCCGCGGUAAUACGUANGUGGCAAGCGUUAUCCNNAAUUAUUGGGCGUACAGCNCGCNCANGCGGUUUCUUANNUCUGAUGUGAAANCCNACGGCCNCAACNGUUGGANGNUCNUUGGAAAACUGGNGAACUUGANUGC